AUUGAACGCUGGCGGCAUGCCUUACACAUGCAAGUCGAACGGCAGCACGGGAGCAAUCCUGGUGGCGAGUGGCGAACGGGUGAGUAAAGUAUCGGAACGUGCCCAGUCGUGGGGGAUAACGUAGCGAAAGUUACGCUAAUACCGCAUACGAUCUAUGGAUGAAAGCGGGGGAUCGCAAGACCUCGCGCGAUUGGAGCGGCCGAGAUCAGAUUAGGUAGUGGGUGGGGUAAAGGCUCACCAAGCCGACGAUCUGUAGCUGGUCUGAGAGGACGACCAGCCACACUGGGACUGAGACACGGCCCAGACUCCUACGGGAGGCAGCAGUGGGGAAUUUUGGACAAUGGGCGAAAGCCUGAUCCAGCCAUGCCGCGUGCAGGAUGAAGGCCUUCGGGUUGUAAACUGCUUUUGUACGGAACGAAAAGGUUUGGCCUAAUAAGCUGAGCUCAUGACGGUACCGUAAGAAUAAGCACCGGCUAACUACGUGCCAGCCGCCGCAGUAA
This 500-nucleotide ribosomal RNA is filed under the name uncultured bacterium. RNAcentral describes it as "partial 16S ribosomal RNA". It matches the Rfam family "Bacterial small subunit ribosomal RNA", at positions 30 to 523 of the family's 1533-position model. The record is from RNAcentral.